Patella vulgata (common limpet) is the source of this 1048-nucleotide long non-coding RNA. RefSeq lists it as uncharacterized. The transcript has 5 exons. The record is from RefSeq and is a predicted model, not a curated record. NCBI's taxonomy places the organism in Eukaryota, Metazoa, Mollusca, Gastropoda, Patellidae.
UUCAUUAUUUGCUAAAAAAAACUAAAUAUAUACGGUUUAAUAUGACUGGAUUUGUCAUCAUCAAGAUUUAUUACCUGGUGCACUCAGUGAAUUUACCUAGUGACAUUUGUUAAAACUGAAGGAUACUGGAGUGACAAUUUUAUCAUUGUGAAUUGAAUACACGGUAGACUUCUUUUUGGCAGUUCGAAUUCGAAGUAGGCGGGCAAGUUGCUGUGCGGAUAAACAUCUCUAUAGCAUUGCAGGCGUAAAAAUUAUAAUAAUAUGUUAGUCUAAAAGUGACUAGAGUAUUAUGUUGACGAGACUUUAAGCAAAUAAUAUGAACACUGGUUUGUAUGGUGUUUUAAGUUUAAGGAAUUAACUGUGACUGUGAUCAGACUGGGUUUUUAAUUCAUUUUUGCUGAAUACCCAAAACGGUUUAAAAACAUUGAGAUACGAGUAUUUGAUUUGAAGGAUUAUUUGAAAAUAUGAUAUUAUUCUGGGCUACAAUUUUAUUAUUUCUUGAUUUAUGUCAAGCAGUAACGAAUGACGCUAGAUGUUUGGCACGUAAAGGUGGAGUUUGUCAGUUCAACAAUACACCAUGUCAAGGUACUUCCAUAGCAGGAUUAUGUGCCAGUUCAGAUGUAAGACGUUGCUGCAUAGUUUCUGAUAAUAUGGAGGGUGACCAUGAAUGUCAUGCCGCUGAUGGACGAUGUCAGUAUGCAGCACAAAGAUGUAAUAACGGCAGAUAUAUCGGGGCAAAAUGUUCUGGUGCAGUUGAAAGGAAGUGUUGCGUCAGUAAAUACACUGUAGGCUCAACAUCUCAGAAUUCAGAUAGUUGGUGUGAAGCCCGGGGAGGUGUUUGUCAGUACACAAGUAGCGCAUGCCCUGGUGGAUAUGAAAAAAAUUUAUGUCGGGGUACCAUCAAUAUACAGUGUUGUAUAGGGGGUGUUUACCAAAGUGGAUUACCUAAAAAUGGAAAUAAUGCAUCCAGUCGACAAGUAUCUCUCCUAUUACAAAUUCUCUCUUUUCUUUUUAUUUUUUAUAAAUAAAUUUGCUAUAAUAAAGUAAA